This 312-nucleotide unclassified non-coding RNA is filed under the name uncultured fungus. RNAcentral describes it as "partial contains 5.8S ribosomal RNA and internal transcribed spacer 2". The stretch from base 1 to 133 matches the Rfam family "5.8S ribosomal RNA", at positions 22 to 154 of the family's 154-position model. The record is from RNAcentral. Lineage: Eukaryota; Fungi.
UGGUUCUGGCAUCGAUGAAGAACGCAGCGAAAUGCGAUAAGUAAUGUGAAUUGCAGAAUUCAGUGAAUCAUCGAAUCUUUGAACGCACAUUGCGCCCCUUGGUAUUCCGAGGGGCAUGCCUGUUCGAGCGUCAUUAUAACCACUCAAGCCUAGCUUGGUAUUGGGGUUCGCGUGCCCGCGGCCCUUAAAAUUAGUGGCGGUGCCGUCUGGCUCUAAGCGUAGUAAUUCUCUCGCUAUAGAGUCCUGGUGGUUACUUGCCAGAACCCCCCACAUUCUUAGGUUGACCUCGGAUCAGGUAGGGAUACCCGCUGA